GAAAGAAGAGAAAGAGGAAAAAGAAUGGAGAGAAAGAGAAAAGAAAGAAGAAAAGAAUGGGAAGAAAGAAUGAGAGACAUUUUAUAAUUAAAACAACUUAAUCAUAUUUCAUAGCCAUAUCAAAUUACACAUGUAAAGGCGUACCUGAAGAAAUAAAGAGGAACUUAAAGAUCCUCAACACUGAGCCAAUUAAUUUUCAGACUGUCCAACCAACUGAAUUGUAAGGAUGUUUGUAUGAUAGAGCACUUUGGUUGUUGGCAUUGGAGCUGUUGGUGUCUAUUUCGAUCGCUGUAAAAGAUUUCACUGAAUUUUGAGAUUGGUAACAAGUUGGAGAUUAAUAGUUAACAGAAUUACAUUGAUGUUACUAGGAAUUAACUUGGAUCUUGUGGAAGCUGGUAAAUUGAGGUCUGUCUUUGGAGGGAAGCAAUUUUUCUCAUCCCUGCAUAUUUAGCUCUUUCUAGUAUUUUGGCAUUUAAGAGUUGUCUUUGGUAUCCACAACACCUUUAAAAGUAGUAACUCUAGCAAACAUUUUCCAGCACUUUCAAGAAUGCUUGUAAGUCCUGUCUCUACUUUUCAUGUUGCACAUUCUAAAUAGCAGGUACAAAAUAGUUUCCAUAAUCACUUCCUAAGAAUGUCGCUUUUCUUCCUUCUCCUGCAUACUUGGCUUUUUAUUAUGCUUUUCUUACUACAGUGAGAGACAUGUAGCAUAGGUUUCAGGCUGAUUAGGGACAGAAGUUAACAAGCAUCAUUGUCUCUUAAUGUUUCUGCAAACAUGGGAUUGCCAGGAAUUAAGAGUUGCUCAUCAAAUAUUUAUCAUC
Molecule: long non-coding RNA, 818 nt
Filed under: Marmota monax (woodchuck)
Lineage: Eukaryota; Metazoa; Chordata; Mammalia; Rodentia; Sciuridae
Source: RNAcentral